GAACAAAUACAAUCUCAAAGUCCAUACAAUCUCAAACUCACCAGGCAUAAUGAUGAGACUUAUGAAAUUACAGUUUCUGGUAGUUCUUGUGUUGAUGAUUUGGUACCAGGGACCUUAGGUACUUAUGGAGCUUGCACAGGGAGGAGCAGGUCGUUGUGGGACAUGGAUUGAGGAUGCCAUGUUAAACGUUUAAACAUUUGAACUUAUGAUUUUCAUUAGGUUUACAUACUUCUGCUUCCGCUACUUAAAUUAUGUUUUUAUUGAACACCAGUUAUAUUGUGAUGGGUUGUAAUGAUUACUUUUAAUAUUUAAAUGCUAUGUUUAAUAUGAUUGGUGGCUUGAUCCUGGACAGUCACGCUCCCAAGCGGUGAUACUCCGCGUGUGGAUUUUGGGGGUGUGAUAGAUUGGUAUCAGAGCCAUUGGUUAUAGAGAACUUGGUUUUAAUAUGGGGAAAACGUUUUUAUUAAAACCAGACUAUAACCAGAACAGUGCUCUCAACGAUCCACAAGGACGCUUCGCUCCACGUGCAAGACUCAACAUCCUAG
Molecule: long non-coding RNA, 545 nt
Filed under: Helianthus annuus (common sunflower)
Lineage: Eukaryota; Viridiplantae; Streptophyta; Magnoliopsida; Asterales; Asteraceae
Description: sRNA HanXRQr2_Chr02g0046191
Source: RNAcentral